This 665-nucleotide ribosomal RNA is filed under the name uncultured Bacteroidales bacterium. Its description in RNAcentral is "bacterial SSU rRNA". It matches the Rfam family "Bacterial small subunit ribosomal RNA", at positions 61 to 715 of the family's 1533-position model. Lineage: Bacteria; Pseudomonadati; Bacteroidota; Bacteroidia; Bacteroidales. The record is from RNAcentral.
GUCGAGGGGCAGCAUGGUCUUAGCUUGCUAAGGCCGAUGGCGACUGGCGCACGGGUGAGUAACACGUAUCCAACCUGCCGUCUACUCUUGGACAGCCUUCUGAAAGGAAGAUUAAUACAAGAUGGCAUCAUGAGUCCGCAUGUUCACAUGAUUAAAGGUAUUCCGGUAGACGAUGGGGAUGCGUUCCAUUAGAUAGUAGGCGGGGUAACGGCCCACCUAGUCUUCGAUGGAUAGGGGUUCUGAGAGGAAGGUCCCCCACAUUGGAACUGAGACACGGUCCAAACUCCUACGGGAGGCAGCAGUGAGGAAUAUUGGUCAAUGGGCGAGAGCCUGAACCAGCCAAGUAGCGUGAAGGAUGACUGCCCUAUGGGUUGUAAACUUCUUUUAUAAAGGAAUAAAGUCGGGUAUGCAUACCCGUUUGCAUGUACUUUAUGAAUAAGGAUCGGCUAACUCCGUGCCAGCAGCCGCGGUAAUACGGAGGAUCCGAGCGUUAUCCGGAUUUAUUGGGUUUAAAGGGAGCGUAGAUGGAUGUUUAAGUCAGUUGUGAAAGUUUGCGGCUCAACCGUAAAAUUGCAGUUGAUACUGGAUAUCUUGAGUGCAGUUGAGGCAGGCGGAAUUCGUGGUGUAGCGGUGAAAUGCUUAGAUAUCACGAAGAACUCCGAUUG